GACGCAGUUAGUCGGCUGCAAUGGCGCCGGUGAGGCGGUCCGCGAAGUGGCGGCCUGGUGGUAUUGAGGCGCGUGGUGAAGGGGUUUCCACUGUCGGGUACAGGAAUAAGAAUGUGAGACAGAAGACAUGGCGGCCUAACCACCCGCAAGCCUUCGUGGGGAGCGUUCGCGAGGACAAGGCUUUGCUUUUCGAAGAAAACUGAAAAUACAGCAAAGUUACAAGAAAUUGCUACGGAAGGAAAAGAAGGCUCAAACGUCACUGGAAUCUCAAUUCACAGAUCGAUACCCAGAUAAUCUGAAACAUCUCUAUUUAGCUGAAGAGGAAAGACAUAGGAAGCAAGCAAGAAAAGUCGACCAUCCUUUGUCAGAACAAGUUCACCAGCCGUUGCUUGAAGAACAGUGUAGCAUUGACGAGCCUUUAUUUGAAGAUCAGUGUAGCUUUGACCAGCCUCAGCCAGAAGAACAAUGUAUUAAAACAGUAAAGUAUGUAUUUUCUU
Molecule: long non-coding RNA, 497 nt
Filed under: Homo sapiens (human)
Lineage: Eukaryota; Metazoa; Chordata; Mammalia; Primates; Hominidae
Description: non-protein coding lnc-PPFIA2-5:2
Source: RNAcentral